GGCAGGAUGGCCGAGCGGUCUAAGGCGCUGCGUUCAAGAUAAAAUCUUUCCAAAAACAAUUUGGAUUUGCAGUUUCGAAAGAAGCGUGGGUUCGAAUCCCACUCCUGUCA
Phialemonium atrogriseum is the source of this 110-nucleotide non-coding RNA. The record is from the annotation of a RefSeq genome assembly. Lineage: Eukaryota; Fungi; Ascomycota; Sordariomycetes; Cephalothecales; Cephalothecaceae.